Molecule: ribosomal RNA, 443 nt
Filed under: uncultured prokaryote
Description: bacterial SSU rRNA
Rfam family: Bacterial small subunit ribosomal RNA
Source: RNAcentral
UAGGGAAUAUUGGUCAAUGGGCGAGAGCCUGAACCAGCCAUGCCGCGUGCAGGAAGACGGCUUUCUGAGUUGUAAACUGCUUUUGUACGGGAAGAAAAAGGCCUUGCGAGGCAAAUUGCCGGUACCGUACGAAUAAGCACCGGCUAACUCCGUGCCAGCAGCCGCGGUAAUACGGAGGGUGCAAGCGUUGUCCGGAUUUAUUGGGUUUAAAGGGUGCGUAGGCGGAUCUUUAAGUCAGUGGUGAAAUCCUGCAGCUUAACUGUAGAACUGCCAUUCAUACUGGAGGUCUUGAGUAUACUAGAGGUAGGCGGAAUUUAUGGUGUAGCGGUGAAAUGCAUAGAUACCAUAAAGAACACCGAUAGCGUAGGCAGCUUACUGGAGUGUAACUGACGCUGAGGCACGAAAGCAUGGGUAGCGAACAGGAUUAGAUACCCCCGUAGUCC